Molecule: transfer RNA, 73 nt
Filed under: Felis catus (domestic cat)
Lineage: Eukaryota; Metazoa; Chordata; Mammalia; Carnivora; Felidae
Rfam family: tRNA
About the family: Transfer RNA (tRNA) molecules are approximately 80 nucleotides in length.
Source: Rfam by way of RNAcentral
GCCUGGUUGGCUCGGUUGGUAGAGCUUGCGACUCUUGAUCUCAGGUUCGUGAGUUCGAGCCCCACGUCAGGUG